AGAGUUUGAUCAUGGCUCAGGACGAACGCUGGCGGCGCGCCUAACACAUGCAAGUCGAACGAGAGAUGAGGAGCUUGCUCUUCAAAUCGAGUGGCGAACGGGUGAGUAACGCGUGAGGAACCUGCCUCAAAGAGGGGGACAACAGUUGGAAACGACUGCUAAUACCGCAUAAGCCCACAGCUCGGCAUCGAGCAGAGGGAAAAGGAGUGAUCCGCUUUGAGAUGGCCUCGCGUCCGAUUAGCUAGUUGGUGAGGUAACGGCCCACCAAGGCGACGAUCGGUAGCCGGACUGAGAGGUUGAACGGCCACAUUGGGACUGAGACACGGCCCAGACUCCUACGGGAGGCAGCAGUGGGGAAUAUUGCACAAUGGGGGAAACCCUGAUGCAGCGACGCCGCGUGGAGGAAGAAGGUCUUCGGAUUGUAACUCCUGUUGUUGAGGAAGAUAAUGACGGUACUCAACAAGGAAGUGACGGCUAACUACGUGCCAGCAGCCGCGGUAAAACGUAGGUCACAAGCGUUGUCCGGAAUUACUGGGUGUAAAGGGAGCGCAGGCGGGAGAACAAGUUGGAAGUGAAAUCCAUGGGCUCAACCCAUGAACCGCUUUCAAAACUGUUUUUCUUGAGUAGUGCAGAGGUAGGCGGAAUUCCCGGUGUAGCGGUGGAAUGCGUAGAUAUCGGGAGGAACACCAGUGGCGAAGGCGGCCUACUGGGCACCAACUGACGCUGAGGCUCGAAAGUGUGGGUAGCAAACAGGAUUAGAUACCCUGGUAGUCCACACCGUAAACGAUGAUUACUAGGUGUUGGAGGAUUGACCCCUUCAGUGCCGCAGUUAACACAAUAAGUAAUCCACCUGGGGAGUACGACCGCAAGGUUGAAACUCAAAGGAAUUGACGGGGGCCCGCACAAGCAGUGGAGUAUGUGGUUUAAUUCGACGCAACGCGAAGAACCUUACCAAGUCUUGACAUCCUGCGACGCACAUAGAAAUAUGAGUUUCCUUCGGGACGCAGAGACAGGUGGUGCAUGGUUGUCGUCAGCUCGUGUCGUGAGAUGUUGGGUUAAGUCCCGCAACGAGCGCAACCCUUAUGGUCAGUUACUACGCAAGAGGACUCUGGCCAGACUGCCGUUGACAAAACGGAGGAAGGUGGGGAUGACGUCAAAUCAUCAUGCCCUUUAUGACUUGGGCUACACACGUACUACAAUGGCGUUAAACAAAGAGAAGCAAGACCGCGAGGUGGAGCAAAACUCAGAAACAACGUCCCAGUUCGGACUGCAGGCUGCAACUCGCCUGCACGAAGUCGGAAUUGCUAGUAAUCGUGGAUCAGCAUGCCACGGUGAAUACGUUCCCGGGCCUUGUACACACCGCCCGUCACACCAUGAGAGCCGGGGGGACCCGAAGUCGGUAGUCUAACCGCAAGGAGGACGCCGCCGAAGGUAAAACUGGUGAUUGGGGUGAAGUCGUAACAAGGUA
RNAcentral lists this ribosomal RNA (1468 nucleotides) under metagenome. RNAcentral describes it as "bacterial SSU rRNA". It matches the Rfam family "Bacterial small subunit ribosomal RNA". The record is from RNAcentral.